UACGUAGGGGGCAAGCGUUAUCCGGAAUUACUGGGUGUAAAGGGAGCGUAGACGGUAAUGUAAGUCUGGAGUGAAAGGCGGGGGCCCAACCCCCGGACUGCUCUGGAAACUAUGUUACUAGUGUGCAGGAGAGGUAAGCGGAAUUCCUAGUGUAGCGGUGAAAUGCGUAGAUAUUAGGAGGAACACCAGUGGCGAAGGCGGCUUACUGGACUGUAACUGACGUUGAGGCUCGAAAGCGUGGGGAGCAAACAGG
RNAcentral lists this ribosomal RNA (253 nucleotides) under uncultured bacterium. Its description in RNAcentral is "partial 16S ribosomal RNA". It matches the Rfam family "Bacterial small subunit ribosomal RNA", at positions 524 to 776 of the family's 1533-position model. The record is from RNAcentral.